This 1212-nucleotide long non-coding RNA is filed under the name Pogona vitticeps (central bearded dragon). RNAcentral's name for it is "lncRNA (ENSPVIG00000012265.1)". The record is from RNAcentral. Lineage: Eukaryota; Metazoa; Chordata; Lepidosauria; Squamata; Agamidae.
AGCUGAUCCUAGGUAUGCACUUGUAACACUGAGACCCACAUUCCUUUCAAACUUCCCCUGGCCCCCUGCUUUCUCCCACCUCUGGCCAGUGCAGUGUAUUUGAUUGCUGCCUUCCACUAUUUUUUCUCAGGACAAGAAAAGAAAUAGUCCAGAGAGUAGAUCCAACCACCAGGCAAGCAGAAAGGGAUCCAGCUUCCACAUCUCCCUGCAAAAGUCACACCCCAUGUGAAAUGCCCAUGCAGCAUAACAUCAUCCAGGACCCAGAUAGGAGCAGCACCGGUUUUGUUCCGUUUUGUUAUUUUUCACUCCAGAUUGAGCUGCGUGGAAUCACUAGACCACCCUAAUCAGGACCAGCUGCAAUCCCCACAGCACCUAUUAGCAUGAAAAGAAACCGAUAGAAGGUAGUUAUGGUUACUGGGUGUAAAAAGGCUUCCCUAAUCCACUUUAAGAGCUCUAGACUUCUGCCUUCUUAAUAAGGGCGCAGGAGCUGCUGCUGUUGCUGAGCCCAGCCCAGCCCUGGCUGGUCAGGCAGCCCCGGCGGCGGCGACGCCUUCCCUCACCUACCUGCAGCCCCGCUUCCUUAAGGAACCACCUAGCGAUCCUCCUUCAGAUCCCAAAGGGAAACUCCAACCUUAUCGGACUUGCAUCGCUUCCAAUUUCCAAAUCCGCCUGCAGCAUCCGGUAGCAUUGGGUGGGGGUGCGGUGAGGUGGGGCGAGUUGGGGGGCUGGGGAGCGGGCUGGGGAGUCCGUGUGUACACGGCGAGCUACUUUUUCAAGAUGGGGCAAAAUGUUUUCGUGGAGAAAAGAAGUUUGCGCCCCUCGUCGCCGGGGAUCAAUCCGGAGGCAAACCGGGGAAAGGGGUACGGGAAGGAGAGGCCGGGCGUCGGAUCCGCUUGCGCGAUUUCCCGAUCCCACUCAUACAAAAGGUACUCUAAGAAUAUCAUCAAACAUGAACACCAGUAAUAAUGUUUAUAACAGCAUUUUAAGGCAGCAGGUAAUGCUUCUUCAUGAAUACAUAUGAGUUCAUAAAUAUGUAUUAUUCUGAUUUAUAUUCUGUGUUGAAACACAGAGGGUUAAGAGUUAAAAUAUUUUUGCCAUUCCCUUUCCUCAUCUUUUCAUUUUUAAUCCUACUCUUGGCCUACCGUCACUGCUAUUUAAUAUUAUGGCCCUCCUGCUGCAGAAAGGGGGGGGGAAUGUUGAGCAAGUAAAUAU